Molecule: long non-coding RNA, 257 nt
Organism: Haliotis rufescens (red abalone)
Lineage: Eukaryota; Metazoa; Mollusca; Gastropoda; Lepetellida; Haliotidae
Exons: 2
Source: RefSeq, a predicted model, not a curated record
CGUAAAGACUUACUAAAGGUGACAAAAGUUGUGGCAGCAGACCAGAUGUAUUGUAACAACAUUGAAUUACACAAAGGUCAAAGCCAUCAGUAUGAAAGCCUCAUCACAUCGACGGUUGCACGGGCGGCUUGGAACAAGAUAUGCUCCUUCGGAACUUUCUGCCAGACUACCGGAGGGUCCAUGGUGGCACAGGUUGAUACGGCAAUGGCCCCUCUCGGCAAUCAGCUGGUCACUUGUGAAAUAAACAUGUACACUUG